UACGUAGGGGGUGAGCGUUGUCCGGAAUUAUUGGGCGUAAAGAGCGUGUAGGCGGUUCGGUAAGUCUGCUGUGAAAUCCUGGGGCUCAACCCCGGGCGUGCAGCGGAUACUGCCGGGCUAGAGGGUGGUAGAGGCGAGUGGAAUUCCGAGUGUAGCGGUGAAAUGCGCAGAUAUUCGGAGGAACACCAGUAGCGAAGGCGGCUCGCUGGGCCACACCUGACGCUGAGACGCGAAAGCAUGGGGAGCGAACAGG
This 253-nucleotide ribosomal RNA is filed under the name uncultured bacterium. Its description in RNAcentral is "partial 16S ribosomal RNA". It matches the Rfam family "Bacterial small subunit ribosomal RNA", at positions 524 to 776 of the family's 1533-position model. The record is from RNAcentral.